AGUGAACGCUGGCGGUAGGCCUAACACAUGCAAGUCGAACGGCAGCACAGUAAGAGCUUGCUCUUACGGGUGGCGAGUGGCGGACGGGUGAGGAAUACAUCGGAAUCUACUUUUUCGGGGGGGAUAACGUAGGGAAACUUACGCUAAUACCGCAUACGACCUACGGGUGAAAGCAGGGGAUCUUCGGACCUUGCGCGAAUGAAUGAGCCGAUGUCGGAUUAGCUAGUUGGCGGGGUAAAGGCCCACCAAGGCGACGAUCCGUAGCUGGUCUGAGAGGAUGAUGAGCCACACUGGAACUGAGACACGGUCCAGACUCCUACGGGAGGCAGCAGUGGGGAAUAUUGGACAAUGGGCGCAAGCCUGAUCCAGCCAUACCGCGUGGGUGAAGAAGGCCUUCGGGUUGUAAAGCCCUUUUGUUGGGAAAGAAAAGCAGCAGGUUAAUACCCCGCUGUUCUGACGGUACCCAAAGAAUAAGCACCGGCUAACUUCGUG
Molecule: ribosomal RNA, 492 nt
Filed under: uncultured bacterium
Lineage: Bacteria
Description: partial 16S ribosomal RNA
Rfam family: Bacterial small subunit ribosomal RNA
Source: RNAcentral